Molecule: ribosomal RNA, 325 nt
Filed under: Colletotrichum fructicola
Lineage: Eukaryota; Fungi; Ascomycota; Sordariomycetes; Glomerellales; Glomerellaceae
Description: partial large subunit ribosomal RNA
Rfam family: Eukaryotic large subunit ribosomal RNA
Source: RNAcentral
CUUCUAAAGCUAAAUACCGGCCAGAGACCGAUAGCGCACAAGUAGAGUGAUCGAAAGAUGAAAAGCACUUUGAAAAGAGGGUUAAACAGCACGUGAAAUUGUUAAAAGGGAAGCGCUUGUGACCAGACUUGCGUCCGGUGAAUCACCCAGCUCUCGCGGCUGGGGCACUUCGCCGGCUCAGGCCAGCAUCAGCUCGCUGUCGGGGACAAAAGCUUCAGGAACGUAGCUCUCUUCGGGGAGUGUUAUAGCCUGUUGCAUAAUACCCUUCGGCGGGCUGAGGUACGCGCUCCGCAAGGAUGCUGGCAUAAUGGUCAUCAGCGACCCG